UACGUAAGGUUUGCUAUUUACUGCCAGAUUUACAGGGCUGAUUGGCUAAACUAGGUUAGAGUGAUUAUCCUGAGGAAUAUUAAUAAUCCUUGUUUUAGCAUGUCAGAAUUGUCAGAAGUUAAUUGCACUAUUGCUGUCUUUUAGCACAGGCCUAUUGAUUGCCACAGAGCAGUGUUGGAAGACAGUGUACAGUCAGAAAACAGCCUUGUGCAGGAAGCAGCCAGCAGCACAAUGAAGAUUGCCAAAGAACAAAUUGCUGUCACAGAAUACCCCUACCAUGUCCCACAGGCCAAACAGGAGAAGAGAGACAAAUCAGGAUGGGGUAAGUAAUUUUUCAGCCAUCUUCUCAAAACACUCAAACAGCAUUCAUGCCUUGAGUUAAACCCCACAGCAUCAUAUCUUCCAGAUGUGAAAGUAAGAAAGCAUGGACAAAAUUUGGCCAAUAUGUUCUGUCUGAUUCUAACUCUAUACAUUACUAUGCGUACAAGCAACAUUUAGGUUUCUUCUGAAGACCUGCUGAAGUGGAAACUCCUUUGGCAGCCUUGCAGGUUUUAUGGCUCCAGGGUAAGUCUUGUGAAAAAUGUAGCAUAUAGAACAGAAUCAGAAAACUUCAUAAUAGUAAAUGGACAUUUGAACAGCAGUAUAACUUUUUUUUUUUUUUUUUUUGUGAAACAACUGCUUCUUUGAAUUUUCACUGGAUGGCAUAUAAGUGAGCAUUUGCAUGUACAAGGUUAUAUCAGACAUAGUGAAAUAGACUUACAAACUUUCUGAUGAAGUCUGUCAGAUUUACUGGUGAAUUAUUUUAUUUCUGCAGACUUUGUGAACUAUCUUAUAGAAUGGCAUUUCUGUAUAUACAGAGUUUGUGAGUGGCUUAAUACACAGGAAUAAAAAUGAAAUAUAUUCUAAAUGUCCUUUAGGUACUUCCUUUAAAGUCAAGACAGAGAGUUAGUUUUCCUAAGAGAUGAGUUAGAGUGGAGACAAUUCUAGAUAAGCCACUCCUUCUGAAUUAAAAUCUUAUGGGAAUGUUAGGAAUAUUUGUUUUAUUUUAGC
Molecule: long non-coding RNA, 1050 nt
Filed under: Taeniopygia guttata (zebra finch)
Lineage: Eukaryota; Metazoa; Chordata; Aves; Passeriformes; Estrildidae
Description: lncRNA (ENSTGUG00000026830.1)
Source: RNAcentral